GGGAGGAUACAGAAAAAAUGCAGCUAUCUGCAAGACAGGGAGAGGGUUCUCAUCAGAACCAGACCAUGCUGGCAUCCUGAUCUCACACUUGUAGCCUCUAAAACCGUGAGAAAGAAAUUGCUGUGAGAAUAUUCAGCUGGCACACUGGUACCAUACCAGUUAUUAAAAUAGGGAAAUACUUCCAUACUGGUUGGUAAAUAGUGGGUGUCCUGAGACCUCCAGGAGCCCCCUCUCCCAACUCCUGACAUAACCACCCUCAGGACCUUCAUGCAAUAACUUGAGGGUCAAUAUUUGGUGUGGCAGAGACCUUCAGUUCUCCAUCCAUCCAUUCCAGUGCAGUCUGAUCUGAAAGUGCUCUUUUCGCUAUCUGCUGCCUCCUCGGAGAAAUGCCCUAAGCUCAGCAUGCCAAGAUGUCAUAGAAUUAAAGAGAGUUAGAGAUGGAAGAAAUCCUGGACAUCUAGCCCACACACUGAGAACUCCCUUGCUGCCCAUGAUUCCAGAUGCACUCUCAGCAUUGUCUACAGCCUGGGUCAUAGAUUGCCCAGGCAACAUCCCUCUCCCAUCUUCUAACAGAGACUUGUGCUCUUAGAUAAUGUGCUGCAUUCUUCAACCUCCU
Molecule: long non-coding RNA, 616 nt
Organism: Prionailurus viverrinus (fishing cat)
Lineage: Eukaryota; Metazoa; Chordata; Mammalia; Carnivora; Felidae
Exons: 3
Source: RefSeq, a predicted model, not a curated record